UCGCCGCCCUCCCUUAUCACUCUUCUGCUCCAGCCCUGAGGUUUUAAUUCCGCUGGACGGAGGACUGAUAAGUGUGGGCGGGGU
Molecule: microRNA precursor, 84 nt
Filed under: Petromyzon marinus (sea lamprey)
Lineage: Eukaryota; Metazoa; Chordata; Hyperoartia; Petromyzontiformes; Petromyzontidae
Description: microRNA pma-mir-184 precursor
Gene: pma-mir-184
Source: miRBase by way of RNAcentral